CGUAACAAGGUCUCCGUUGGUGAACCAGCGGAGGGAUCAUUACCGAGUUUACAGCUCCCAAACCCCUGUGAACAUACCUAUACGUUGCCUCGGCGGAUCAGCCCGCGCCCCGUAAAAAGGGACGGCCCGCCCGAGGACCCCUAAACUCUGUUUUUAGUGGAACUUCUGAGUAAAACAAACAAAUAAAUCAAAACUUUCAACAACGGAUCUCUUGGUUCUGGCAUCGAUGAAGAACGCAGCAAAAUGCGAUAAGUAAUGUGAAUUGCAGAAUUCAGUGAAUCAUCGAAUCUUUGAACGCACAUUGCGCCCGCCAGUAUUCUGGCGGGCAUGCCUGUUCGAGCGUCAUUUCAACCCUCAAGCUCAGCUUGGUGUUGGGACUCGCGGUAACCCGCGUUCCCCAAAUCGAUUGGCGGUCACGUCGAGCUUCCAUAGCGUAGUAAUCAUACACCUCGUUACUGGUAAUCGUCGCGGCCACGCCGUAAAACCCCAACUUCUGAAUGUUGACCUCGGAUCAGGUAGGAAUACCCGCUGAACUUAA
This 538-nucleotide ribosomal RNA is filed under the name uncultured fungus. Its description in RNAcentral is "eukaryotic LSU rRNA". The stretch from base 192 to 345 matches the Rfam family "5.8S ribosomal RNA". Lineage: Eukaryota; Fungi. The record is from RNAcentral.